CGUAGGUGGCGAGCGUUAUCCGGAAUUAUUGGGCGUAAAGGGUGCGUAGGCGGCCUGUUAAGUAAGUGGUUAAAUUGUUGGGCUCAACCCAAUCCAGCCACUUAAACUGGCAGGCUAGAGUAUUGGAGAGGCAAGUGGAAUUCCAUGUGUAGCGGUAAAAUGCGUAGAUAUAUGGAGGAACACCAGUGGCGAAGGCGGCUUGCUAGCCAAAGACUGACGCUCAUGCACGAAAGCGUGGGGAGCAAAUAGGAUU
Molecule: ribosomal RNA, 253 nt
Filed under: uncultured bacterium
Lineage: Bacteria
Description: partial 16S ribosomal RNA
Rfam family: Bacterial small subunit ribosomal RNA
Source: RNAcentral